CGUCUAGGUGGUUUGAUAAGUCUGAUGUGAAAAUGCGGGGCUCAACUCCGUAUUGCGUUGGAAACUGUCAAACUAGAGUAUCGGAGAGGUGGGCGGAACUACAAGUGUAGAGGUGAAAUUCGUAGAUAUUUGUAGGAAUGCCGAUAGAGAAGUCAGCUCAUUGGACGAAUACUGACACUGAAGCGCGAAAGCAUGGGGAGCAAACA
RNAcentral lists this ribosomal RNA (206 nucleotides) under uncultured bacterium. Its description in RNAcentral is "partial 16S ribosomal RNA". It matches the Rfam family "Bacterial small subunit ribosomal RNA", at positions 568 to 774 of the family's 1533-position model. The record is from RNAcentral.